This 114-nucleotide non-coding RNA is filed under the name Ureibacillus endophyticus. RNAcentral describes it as "SAM riboswitch (S box leader)". It matches the Rfam family "SAM riboswitch aptamer (S box leader)". Rfam says of the family: The SAM riboswitch is found upstream of a number of genes which code for proteins involved in methionine or cysteine biosynthesis in Gram-positive bacteria. The SAM riboswitch acts at the level of transcription termination control. Lineage: Bacteria; Bacillati; Bacillota; Bacilli; Caryophanales; Caryophanaceae. The record is from RNAcentral.
UUUAUCCAGAGUGGCGGAGGGAAUAGGCCCUAUGAUGCCCGGCAACCAGUGAAUACAUAAAGUGUUUACUAAGGUGCUAAUUCCUACAGAUUUUGAUUGAUCUGACAGAUAAGG